CCUACGGGCGGCAGCAGUGAGGAAUAUUGCGCAAUGGGCGAAAGCCUGACGCAGCGAAGCCGCGUGAGGGAUGAAGGUCUUCGGAUCGUAAACCUCUGUCAGCAGGGAAGAACGGUCCCUGUGCUAAUCAGCAGUGAAUUGACGGUACCUGCAAAGGAAGCACCGGCUAACUCCGUGCCAGCAGCCGCGGUAAUACGGAGGGUGCGAGCGUUAAUCGGAAUUACUGGGCGGAAAGCGCUCGUAGGCGGUAUGUCAAGUCAAGGGUGAAAGCCCCCGGCUCAACGUGAGAACUGCCUUGGAAACUGGCAAACUGGAGUGUAGGAGAGGAGAGUGGAAGUCCAGGUGUAGGAGUGAAAUCCGGAGAUAUCUGGAGGAACAUCAGUGGCGAAGGCGACUAUCUGGCACAUAACUGACGCUGAGGCUCGAAAGUGUGGGUAGCAAACAGGAUUAGAUACCCUGGUAGUC
This 465-nucleotide ribosomal RNA is filed under the name uncultured bacterium. RNAcentral describes it as "partial 16S ribosomal RNA". It matches the Rfam family "Bacterial small subunit ribosomal RNA", at positions 338 to 795 of the family's 1533-position model. The record is from RNAcentral.